This 538-nucleotide ribosomal RNA is filed under the name uncultured bacterium. Its description in RNAcentral is "bacterial SSU rRNA". It matches the Rfam family "Bacterial small subunit ribosomal RNA", at positions 13 to 597 of the family's 1533-position model. The record is from RNAcentral.
UUGAUCCUGGCUCAGAAUGAACGCUGGCGGCAGGCCUAACACAUGCAAGUCGAACGCAUCCUUCGGGGUGAGUGGCGGACGGGUGAGUAACACGUGGGAACGUACCCUUUGCUACGGAAUAGUCUCGGGAAACUGGGGGUAAUACCGUAUGUGCCCUACGGGGGAAAGAUUUAUCGGCAAAGGAUCGGCCCGCGUUGGAUUAGGUAGUUGGUGGGGUAAUGGCCUACCAAGCCGACGAUCCAUAGCUGGUUUGAGAGGAUGACGAGCCACACUGGGACUGAGACACGGCCCAGACUCCUACGGGAGGUAGCAGUGGGGAAUCCUAGACAAUGGGGGAAACCCUGAUCUAGCCAUGCCGCGUGAGUGAUGAAGGCCUUAGGGUUGUAAAGCUCUUUCGCUGGGGAAGAUAAUGACGGUACCCAGUAAAGAAGCCCCGGCUAACUCCGUGCCAGCAGCCGCGGUAAUACGGAGGGGGCUAGCGUUAUUCGGAAUUACUGGGCGUAAAGCGCACGUAGGCGGACCAGAAAGUUAGGGGUGA